RNAcentral lists this transfer RNA (70 nucleotides) under Dipodomys ordii (Ord's kangaroo rat). It matches the Rfam family "tRNA". Rfam says of the family: Transfer RNA (tRNA) molecules are approximately 80 nucleotides in length. Their secondary structure includes four short double-helical elements and three loops (D, anti-codon, and T loops). Lineage: Eukaryota; Metazoa; Chordata; Mammalia; Rodentia; Heteromyidae. The record is from Rfam by way of RNAcentral.
GGGAAUGUGGCUUAGUGGUAGAGUGCUUGCCUAGCAUGCAUGAAGCCCUGGGUUUAAUUUCCGAGCACCA